UCCAGCAGCCAUAUCACUCUGCAACUCACAACUGACAACCCACUGAAAGCAGGUGUGAGCCUGGUCAGUACCUGUAUGGGAGACCUCCUGGGAAAAACUAAGGUUGCUGCUGGAA
RNAcentral lists this ribosomal RNA (115 nucleotides) under Lepisosteus oculatus (spotted gar). The record is from RNAcentral. Lineage: Eukaryota; Metazoa; Chordata; Actinopteri; Semionotiformes; Lepisosteidae.